Caenorhabditis elegans is the source of this 73-nucleotide non-coding RNA. NCBI's taxonomy places the organism in Eukaryota, Metazoa, Nematoda, Chromadorea, Rhabditida, Rhabditidae. The record is from the annotation of a RefSeq genome assembly.
GCGCAUGUGGCCUAGUGGCUAACACGUUCGUUUUUGAUUCCGAAGGUCGAUGGUUCGAAUCCUUCAGUGCGGA